This is a small nucleolar RNA of Callorhinus ursinus (northern fur seal), 134 nucleotides long. RefSeq annotates it as small nucleolar RNA SNORA3/SNORA45 family. The record is from RefSeq and is a predicted model, not a curated record. NCBI's taxonomy places the organism in Eukaryota, Metazoa, Chordata, Mammalia, Carnivora, Otariidae.
CCCGAGACUAGAGUCACAUCCUGACAUAGUUCUUGUCCUGAUGUGCUGGAGUUCUCGGAGAGAAUUUGCUGGUCUUUUUUUUUUUUUUUUAAGAUUUUAUUUAUUUAUUUGAGAGCGAGACAGAGAGGACAUGA